GUGCUUCCUUCGGGAAUGCCUUUUUUUUCCCGACAACUUCGGCGCGGCUCGGCGUUCGUUGCUCCCGACGGUGUAAAACUCGCUCGGGCUAACAAACGUUCGGCCUAACCAACGUAACAAAAAACCGGCGUGAAAUGCGCCAAGGAACAUAAAAGAGAGUGCGUUCGUCUGGUGUCAGCACUGUUGCGCCAGGACGGGCGUUGUCUUCUUGAUGAGUUUAUAAUGACUCUCGGCAACGGAUAUCUCGGCUCCUACAUCGAUGAAGAACGUAGCAAAAUGCGAUACUUGGUGUGAAUUGCAGAAUCCCGUGAACCAUCGAGUCUUUGAACGCAAGUUGCGCCCGAAUCCUUUUGGUCGAGGGCACGUCUGCCUGGGUGUCACGU
Molecule: ribosomal RNA, 383 nt
Filed under: Saxifraga aphylla
Lineage: Eukaryota; Viridiplantae; Streptophyta; Magnoliopsida; Saxifragales; Saxifragaceae
Also listed under: 1 other name
Description: 5.8S ribosomal RNA
Rfam family: 5.8S ribosomal RNA (bases 225-380)
Source: RNAcentral